GAUCUAUAGCUGAUCUGAGAGGAUGAUCAGCCACACUGGAACUGAGAUACGGUCCAGACUCCUACGGGAGGCAGCAGUGGGGAAUAUUGGACAAUGGGCGAAAGCCUGAUCCAGCUAUGCCGCAUGAGUGAAGAAGGCCUUUGGGUUGUAAAGCUCUUUUAGUGAGGAAGAUAAUGACGGUACUCACAGAAGAAGUCCUGGCUAACUCCGUGCCAGCAGCCGCGGUAAUACGGAGAGGGCUAGCGUUAUUCGGAAUUAUUGGGCGUAAAGGGCGCGUAGGCUGAUUAAUAAGUUAAAAGUGAAAUCCCGAGGCUUAACCUUGGAAUUGCUUUUAAAACUAUUAAUCUAGAGAUUGAAAGAGGAUAGAGGAAUUCCUGAUGUAGAGGUAAAAUUCGUAAAUAUUAGGAGGAACACCAGUGGCGAAGGCGUCUAUCUGGUUCAAAUCUGACGCUGAGGCGCGAAGGCGUGGGGAGCAAACAGGAUUAGAUACCCUGGUAGUCCACGCUAUAAACGAUGAAUGUUAAAUAUGGGGAAGUUUACUUUCU
This 545-nucleotide ribosomal RNA is filed under the name Wolbachia endosymbiont of Bemisia tabaci. RNAcentral describes it as "bacterial SSU rRNA". It matches the Rfam family "Bacterial small subunit ribosomal RNA", at positions 278 to 840 of the family's 1533-position model. The record is from RNAcentral. Lineage: Bacteria; Pseudomonadati; Pseudomonadota; Alphaproteobacteria; Rickettsiales; Anaplasmataceae.